CGGCGGACGGGUGAGUAACGCGUGGGUAACCUGCCUUAUACAGGGGGAUAACAGUUAGAAAUGACUGCUAAUACCGCAUAAGCGCACAGUACCGCAUGGUACAGNGUGAAAAACUCCGGUGGUAUAAGAUGGACCCGCGUCUGAUUAGCCAGUUGGCGGGGUAAUGGCCCACCAAAGCGACGAUCAGUAGCCGACCUGAGAGGGUGACCGGCCACAUUGGGACUGAGACACGGCCCAAACUCCUACGGGAGGCAGCAG
This 258-nucleotide ribosomal RNA is filed under the name uncultured bacterium. RNAcentral's name for it is "partial 16S ribosomal RNA". It matches the Rfam family "Bacterial small subunit ribosomal RNA", at positions 96 to 354 of the family's 1533-position model. The record is from RNAcentral.